CCAUUUGGAUGCGACGGUGGUGCUGUCGCGGGAUAUCGCCUCGCUCGGCAUCUACCCCGCGGUGGACCCGCUCGAUUCGACUUCGCGCCAGGUGGACC
RNAcentral lists this transfer RNA (98 nucleotides) under compost metagenome. RNAcentral describes it as "tRNA-Asp". The record is from RNAcentral.